CAUGCAAGUCGAGCGGUAAGGCCUUUCGGGGUACACGAGCGGCGAACGGGUGAGUAACACGUGGGUGAUCUGCCCUGCACUUCGGGAUAAGCCUGGGAAACUGGGUCUAAUACCGGAUAUGACCUCCUAUCGCAUGGUGGGUGGUGGAAAGAUUUAUCGGUGCAGGAUGGGCCCGCGGCCUAUCAGCUUGUUGGUGGGGUAAUGGCCUACCAAGGCGACGACGGGUAGCCGACCUGAGAGGGUGACCGGCCACACUGGGACUGAGACACGGCCCAGACUCCUACGGGAGGCAGCAGUGGGGAAUAUUGCACAAUGGGCGAAAGCCUGAUGCAGCGACGCCGCGUGAGGGAUGACGGCCUUCGGGUUGUAAACCUCUUUCAGCAGGGACGAAGCGCAAGUGACGGUACCUGCAGAAGAAGCACCGGCUAACUACGUGCCAGCAGCCGCGGUAAUACGUAGGGUGCAAGCGUUGUCCGGAAUUACUGGGCGUAAAGAGUUCGUAGGCGGUUUGUCGCGUCGUUUGUGAAAACCAGCAGCUCAACUGCUGGCUUGCAGGCGAUACGGGCAGACUUGAGUACUGCAGGGGAGACUGGAAUUCCUGGUGUAGCGGUGAAAUGCGCAGAUAUCAGGAGGAACACCGGUGGCGAAGGCGGGUCUCUGGGCAGUAACUGACGCUGAGGAACGAAAGCGUGGGUAGCGAACAGGAUUAGAUAC
Molecule: ribosomal RNA, 714 nt
Filed under: Rhodococcus erythropolis
Lineage: Bacteria; Bacillati; Actinomycetota; Actinomycetes; Mycobacteriales; Nocardiaceae
Description: bacterial SSU rRNA
Rfam family: Bacterial small subunit ribosomal RNA
Source: RNAcentral